AAGGAUCUUCGGGGCAAGGUGAAAUUCCUGACCGGCGGUGACGCAUUCUAAUUAUGCGAAGCCCGCGACUCUCUGCUGCAUGAUGCUGCAGGGACUGACUUGGUGCAAUUCCAAGGCCGACGGUAUAGUCCGGAUGGUAGAAGAUCAUC
RNAcentral lists this non-coding RNA (149 nucleotides) under Paenibacillus sp. RNAcentral describes it as "FMN sequence". It matches the Rfam family "FMN riboswitch aptamer (RFN element)". From Rfam's summary of the family: The RFN element is a highly conserved domain that is found frequently in the 5'-untranslated regions of prokaryotic mRNAs that encode for flavin mononucleotide (FMN) biosynthesis and transport proteins. This element is a metabolite-dependent riboswitch that directly binds FMN in the absence of proteins. Lineage: Bacteria; Bacillati; Bacillota; Bacilli; Caryophanales; Paenibacillaceae. RNAcentral also lists the same sequence under 1 other name. The record is from RNAcentral.